AACUUUUAACAAUGGAUCACUUGGCUCUCUCAUCGAUGAAGAACGCAGCGAAAUGCGAUAAGUAAUGUGAAUUGCAGAUUUUCAGUGAAUCAUCGAAUCUUUGAACGCAACUUGCGCCCCUUGGUAUUCUGAGGGGCAUGCGUGUUUGAGUGUCAUUAAACUCUCAACUCCGAUUUGAUUUGUUUCUAAUCGGCGCUUAGACUUGAGGUGUUCUAGCGUCUAGUCGGCACAUCUCAAAUGUAUCAGCGUAAUCUACCCUCUGGUUUCCAGGCGUCGGUGUAAUAAUAAGGUUGCAACGUCGUUUCAAUUCAAAGUCCGCUUAUAAUGGUCUUCGAACGCACACUUCUAUCAAAUUUGACCUGCAUUCAUGUAGGACUACACGCUGAACUGAAGCAUAUCAAAAAGCUGAGGCU
RNAcentral lists this unclassified non-coding RNA (413 nucleotides) under uncultured Piloderma. Its description in RNAcentral is "sequence contains ITS2". The stretch from base 1 to 155 matches the Rfam family "5.8S ribosomal RNA". Lineage: Eukaryota; Fungi; Basidiomycota; Agaricomycetes; Atheliales; Atheliaceae. The record is from RNAcentral.